AGAGUUUGAUCCUGGCUCAGGACGAACGCUGGCGGCGUGCUUAACACAUGCAAGUCGAACGGAAAGGCCCUUUCGGGGGUACUCGAGUGGCGAACGGGUGAGUAACACGUGGGUGAUCUGCCCUGCACUUUGGGAUAAGCCUGGGAAACUGGGUCUAAUACCGGAUAGGACUACGCGAUGCAUGUCGUGUGGUGGAAAGCUUUUGCGGUGUGGGAUGGGCCCGCGGCCUAUCAGCUUGUUGGUGGGGUGAUGGCCUACCAAGGCGACGACGGGUAGCCGGCCUGAGAGGGUGACCGGCCACACUGGGACUGAGAUACGGCCCAGACUCCUACGGGAGGCAGCAGUGGGGAAUAUUGCACAAUGGGCGCAAGCCUGAUGCAGCGGCGCCGCGUGAGGGAUGACGGCCUUCGGGUUGUAAACCUCUUUCAGUGCCGACGAAGCGCAAGUGACGGUAGGCAUAGAAGAAGGACCGGCCAACUACGUGCCAGCAGCCGCGGUAAUACGUAGGGUCCGAGCGUUGUCCGGAAUUACUGGGCGUAAAGAGCUCGUAGGUGGUUUGUCGCGUUGUUCGUGAAAACUCACAGCUCAACUGUGGGCGUGCGGGCGAUACGGGCAGACUUGAGUACUGCAGGGGAGACUGGAAUUCCUGGUGUAGCGGUGGAAUGCGCAGAUAUCAGGAGGAACACCGGUGGCGAAGGCGGGUCUCUGGGCAGUAACUGACGCUGAGGAGCGAAAGCGUGGGGAGCGAACAGGAUUAGAUACCCUGGUAGUCC
This 773-nucleotide ribosomal RNA is filed under the name uncultured bacterium. RNAcentral describes it as "bacterial SSU rRNA". It matches the Rfam family "Bacterial small subunit ribosomal RNA", at positions 8 to 796 of the family's 1533-position model. The record is from RNAcentral.